RNAcentral lists this long non-coding RNA (785 nucleotides) under Bos taurus (domestic cattle). Its description in RNAcentral is "long non-coding RNA NONBTAT026653". The record is from RNAcentral. Lineage: Eukaryota; Metazoa; Chordata; Mammalia; Artiodactyla; Bovidae.
AUUUAAUAUUGUGUUUUCCAUGAAAUACUCUGUUUCCAUGCCUGUAUUUUAGUCUUGGCUACUUGCAGAUGUUGCAUUGCUGCUGCUGCCACCACUGCUGUUACUACACUACACUUGCUACGAGUUGUUCCUUGGGUAGGACCAGAGUGAUCAUUGAUCAGAAACUCAUCCUCACAGUCUGGGGUUUGCUCCUGUUGCUGGUAUUCACAGUUUUCCCCUUUCAACUUUACCUCAGCUAACCCCUUACCUACAUUAACAGGAGAAGCUGGUAGAAGACUUCAUGAAGGAGAAGAAAAGGAAAAAAAUCAAAGGAUGACUACAGCCUCUCUUCAUCUCAGCUUUGCAAAGCAUGACUCAACAGAGAGAUCACAUUCUUGAAGACUCUCCAGACCACAGCCACCACAGACACUAACCACAGCCAGCAACUGGACCUCAGCCCUGGGAUUUACUCUUGAUGUCUCAACUGAUUAUGAAAUCAGUAGGAGAGCUUGUAUCCCUUUCUAACUUGCUCAUCAGAGAUUUUAAGAUUUGCAUACAUGUGGUAGAUUGAAGAUAAGUUGUUGUGCUGCACUAUUUCUGUUGCUACUCGUGAGAGUCACUACCAGCCUCUCUUCUCAGGAUUAAUGAAUGGGCCAGAAACCGUGGGCAGAAUGACUUCAGGCAACCCCAAACACCAGAUAUUGGCAUAAGGAAACAGUACAAUGAAAAGUCAAUACUUGGACCUUUGUCAUUCCACAAAGCAUGAUGUACUAUCUAAAACAAAAAAGAAGAGCUGCUUUGGAGAA